Dioscorea cayenensis subsp. rotundata (Guinea yam) is the source of this 728-nucleotide RNA transcript. It is a transcript of the gene named glycine-rich RNA-binding protein 4, mitochondrial-like, with no coding region annotated. The record is from RefSeq and is a predicted model, not a curated record. NCBI's taxonomy places the organism in Eukaryota, Viridiplantae, Streptophyta, Magnoliopsida, Dioscoreales, Dioscoreaceae. The transcript is spliced from 4 exons.
ACAGAAAAAAAGAAUGACUCUUUUCUCAAUCGCAGUAAUGCCAACCCUCAACUUCUCCCCUUCAAUCCCUCCAUGGCUUCCAUUGCGAUCCCCCUUCAAUCAUGCUCUCAUCCUGAAGAACCGAAGUCACUCGGUUCUUCUCCCUCUUCACUGCUCUACGAGCUCCCAGUCCUCUCCCACACCAGAAGCCGCCGCCUCUCCUUCUUCCAGGAUCUUCAUCAAAGCUCUCUAAUGCAGGUCUGUCACACUCAACAUCUGAGGGAUCCUUGGCAAAAGCUUUUUCAAGCUUCGGAGAUGUUAAAAGAGUUAAAAUUAUUCUUAGUAAAGGAUCGAAGCAAUCUUUAGGAUUCGCUUACAUUUGGUUUGCUCACGAAGAAGAUGCAUAUUUGGCUAUAAGUGAGAUGGAUGGAAAGUUUUUCGAAGGUAGGUUCAUCUCGGUUGAGAUAGCAGACCCUGAAUCUCCUACAAAGCAGGUAAGAGCUGUACCUUAUAGAUUUUAAUGAGAAAUUUUCCCAAAUAGAUUACUUGGUAUAAUUCCACUGUGUAUAUUUGUUAGAGAAACCUUGAAUCUUAUCGGAUAAUAGGACUUCAUCUUAUCGCCUUACUUGUCUUGUAUUAUUAGUUAUCUAUGCUUAUUUUGGGUCAUAUAUCAUGACACCCAAGGAUGAGAAUGCUGAAAAAAAUGAAAAAUUACAAGAAUCAUGUUUGACAUUGUGAAGUUACAGUAA